Molecule: long non-coding RNA, 514 nt
Organism: Lolium perenne
Lineage: Eukaryota; Viridiplantae; Streptophyta; Magnoliopsida; Poales; Poaceae
Source: RefSeq, a predicted model, not a curated record
GACGAGCACGCACAGGGCCCCUGUUCGAGUCGUCUCGCUCGCACCGGGGCGGCGCCGACCGCGAACCCUAGCUAGGCGCUGGUGGCGGGCCGGCCGCCUCUCACGUCUCUGGCAGUCCGGCAGUCCGACGACGCGCUCAAUCCCCUCCACAGCUCCACUCCACGGUGACCUCCAGCCCCUGAUCGGAAUGUCACGGGCGAGUCCCCUGCACAGCCAUGGCACACUUUGAUGUUGUUACUGAUUGGAAAAGGAGAGUCCAUUCAAUUUUAGUUUAUGUCAUAGUUGUUUCAGAAUUUCACUUCACGUGUGUGUGAACUACUGAAUUGUAAGUCUGUGAUGGCGUGAUGGCAUGUCGUUCCUGAGGUGUGAAAUGUUCUAUCUUGGCAUGUUGCUAUUGGCCAACUAUAUGUAUGUUUGGUGUUGUACAUCUCCCGCUAAUCUGUUAUGUACUUAUAUCAUCUCUUCAUUCUGUGACUUCACAGAAUAUAUUGUCCUGUGAUUUUGUGACUAUACA